AGACCCGAAACCCGGUGAUCUAGCCAUGGGCAGGUUGAAGGUUGGGUAACACUAACUGGAGGACCGAACCGACUAAUGUUGAAAAAUUAGCGGAUGACCUGUGGCUGGGGGUGAAAGGCCAAUCAAACCGGGAGAUAGCUGGUUCUCCCCGAAAGCUAUUUAGGUAGCGCCUCGUGAAUUCAUCUCCGGGGGUAGAGCACUGUUUCGGCUAGGGGGCCAUCCCGGCUUACCAACCCGAUGCAAACUGCGAAUACCGGAGAAUGUUAUCACGGGAGACACACGGCGGGUGCUAACGUCCGUCGUGAAGAGGGAAACAACCCAGACCGCCAGCUAAGGUCCCAAAGUCAUGGUUAAGUGGGAAACGAUGUGGGAAGGCCCAGACAGCCAGGAUGUUGGCUUAGAAGCAGCCAUCAUUUAAAGAAAGCGUAAUAGCUCACUGGUCGAGUCGGCCUGCGCGGAAGAUGUAACGGGGCUAAACCAUGCACCGAAGCUGCGGCAGCGAACGUAUCACUUAAAGCGAUUCAGCGGGUUACGAUUGACGGAGCGAAGCGACGUCAAAGCGUAUACAAAGUCGAGUCGGUUUAAGGAUACGUUCGUUGGGUAGGGGAGCGUUCUGUAAGCCUGCGAAGGUGGCCUGUGAGGGUUGCUGGAGGUAUCAGAAGUGCGAAUGCUGACAUAAGUAACGAUAAAGCGGGUGAAAAGCCCGCUCGCCGGAAGACCAAGGGUUCCUGUCCAACGUUAAUCGGGGCAGGGUGAGUCGACCCCUAAGGCGAGGCCGAAAGGCGUAGUCGAUGGGAAACGGGUUAAUAUUCCCGUACUUGGUGUUACUGCGAAGGGGGGACGGAGAAGGCUAUGUUGGCCGGGCGACGGUUGUCCCGGUUUAAGCGUGUAGGCUGGUUUUCCAGGCAAAUCCGGAAAAUCAAGGCUGAGGCGUGACGACGAGGCACUACGGUGCUGAAGCAACAAAUGCCCUGCUUCCAGGAAAAGCCUCUAAGCAUCAGGUAACACGAAAUCGUACCCCAAACCGACACAGGUGGUCAGGUAGAGAAUACCAAGGCGCUUGAGAGAACUCGGGUGAAGGAACUAGGCAAAAUGGUGCCGUAACUUCGGGAGAAGGCACGCUGACACGUAGGUGAAGUGAUUUACUCA
Molecule: ribosomal RNA, 1149 nt
Filed under: Salmonella enterica
Lineage: Bacteria; Pseudomonadati; Pseudomonadota; Gammaproteobacteria; Enterobacterales; Enterobacteriaceae
Description: partial 23S ribosomal RNA
Rfam family: Bacterial large subunit ribosomal RNA
Source: RNAcentral